This 547-nucleotide ribosomal RNA is filed under the name uncultured haloarchaeon. Its description in RNAcentral is "bacterial SSU rRNA". It matches the Rfam family "Archaeal small subunit ribosomal RNA", at positions 340 to 886 of the family's 1478-position model. The record is from RNAcentral. Lineage: Archaea; Methanobacteriati; Methanobacteriota; Halobacteria; Halobacteriales; Halobacteriaceae.
CGCGAAACCUUUACACUGCACGACAGUGCGAUAAGGGGACCCCGAGUGCGAGGGCAUACAGUCCUCGCUUUUGUGUACCGUAGGGAGGUACACGAAUAAGGGCUGGGCAAGACCGGUGCCAGCCGCCGCGGUAAUACCGGCAGCUCAAGUGAUGGCCGCUAUUAUUGGGCCUAAAGCGUCCGUAGCCGGCCGCACAAGUCCGUCGGGAAAUCCACCCGCUUAACGGGUGGGCGUCCGGCGGAAACUGUGCGGCUUGGGACCGAAAGACUCGAGGGGUACGUCCAGGGUAGGAGUGAAAUCCUGUAAUCCUGGACGGACCGCCGGUGGCGAAAGCGCCUCGAGAGGACGGAUCCGACGGUGAGGGACGAAAGCUAGGGUCUCGAACCGGAUUAGAUACCCGGGUAGUCCUAGCCGUAAACGAUGCUCGCCAGGUGUGGCGCAGGCUACGAGCCUGCGCUGUGCCGUAGGGAAGCCGUGAAGCGAGCCGCCUGGGAAGUACGUCCGCAAGGAUGAAACUUAAAGGAAUUGGCGGGGGAGCACUACAACC